AGUACGUGAAACUGCUUAGAGGUUAAGCCUGAUGAACCUGAAUAUCCAUUAUGGAAAAUUCAUCACUAAUACUGUGUUAUUAAUAAUAUCAUAGAAAUAGUGUGCAAUUUUUCCAUAUAAGGACAUUGUAAUCUGUUAAUGUAAUAAAUAUUUAUUAAAAAAUCUUAUACUAUAGUUUAUUCAAAUUAGUUAUUUUCGAAUUUCUAACAUAGAAUAAAUGUAUUUGAUUUAAUAAAUCAUUGACAGAUUUAUUUAUAUAUAGUGCUUAAAUUUUUUUUUAAAAUUUUACAAUAUUAUAUUAAUUUUAUUUAUUAUAUUUAUUGUAUGCACUUAUAUGAUUUACAAUGCAAUAGAUUCAGGAUACCUUCGGGACCCGUCUUGAAACACGGACCAAGGAGUCUAACAUAUGUGCAAGUCAUUGGGUAUUUUUAAUAAAACCCAAUGGCAUAAUUAACUUAACUGUUUUUAAAUGGGAUUAGUUUAUAUUUUGUUAUGAAUUAUGAAUUCAAUCCCGGGGCGUUCUAUACAGUUAUGUAUAAUGAUAUUUAUAUUAUUUAUACCUCUAACU
Molecule: ribosomal RNA, 568 nt
Filed under: Pelecocera tricincta
Lineage: Eukaryota; Metazoa; Arthropoda; Insecta; Diptera; Syrphidae
Description: partial large subunit ribosomal RNA
Source: RNAcentral